Molecule: ribosomal RNA, 467 nt
Filed under: uncultured bacterium
Lineage: Bacteria
Description: partial 16S ribosomal RNA
Rfam family: Bacterial small subunit ribosomal RNA
Source: RNAcentral
GAUGAACGCUGACAGAAUGCUUAACACAUGCAAGUCAACUUGAAUUUGGGUUUUUACCUUAGGUUUGGGUGGCGGACGGGUGAGUAACGCGUAAAGAACUUGCCUCCCAGCUAGUGACAACAUUUGGAAACGAAUGCUAAUACCUAAUAUUAUGUUAAACGUGCAUCUUAAAAUUAUGAAACCUAUAAGCGCUGUGACUAGGCUUUGCGUCCAUUUGGCUAGUUGGAGAGGUAACGGCUCACCAAGGCGAUGAUGGGUAGCCGGCCUGAGAGGGUGAUCGGCCACAAGGGGACUGAGACACGGCCAUUACUCCUAAGGGAGGAAGCAGUGGGGAAUAUUGGAAAAUAGACCGAGAGUCUGAUGCAGCCAUUCUGUGUGCAAGAUGAAGUUUUUCGGAAUGUAAAGUGCUUUCAGUUGGGAAGAAACAAAUGACGGUACCAACAGAAGAAGUGACGGCUAAAUACGUG